UGGGGAAUAUUGCACAAUGGGCGCAAGCCUGAUGCAGCCAUGCCGCGUGUGUGAAGAAGGCCUUCGGGUUGUAAAGCACUUUCAGCGGGGAGGAAGGCGAUAAGGUUAAUAACCUCAUCGAUUGACGUUACCCGCAGAAGAAGCACCGGCUAACUCCGUGCCAGCAGCCGCGGUAAUACGGAGGGUGCAAGCGUUAAUCGGAAUUACUGGGCGUAAAGCGCACGCAGGCGGUCUGUCAAGUCGGAUGUGAAAUCCCCGGGCUCAACCUGGGAACUGCAUUCGAAACUGGCAGGCUAGAGUCUUGUAGAGGGGGGUAGAAUUCCAGGUGUAGCGGUGAAAUGCAUAGAGAUCUGGAGGAAUACCGGUGGCGAAGGCGGCCCCCUGGACAAAGACUGACGCUCAGGUGCGAAAGCGUGGGGAGCAAACAGG
Molecule: ribosomal RNA, 429 nt
Filed under: Chloroflexota bacterium
Lineage: Bacteria; Bacillati; Chloroflexota
Description: Chloroflexi bacterium partial 16S ribosomal RNA
Rfam family: Bacterial small subunit ribosomal RNA
Source: RNAcentral